UUUAGGAUACUUAUAUGGAAUAUUCUAGAAUGUCGUAGAACAUGGAGGUUGAUGCCUAUAAAUAGGGGAAGACCUCCUCAUUUGUAGGAUGUACAAAGAGGAGUGAAGCAAAGUGUGAGCCCAAGUGUGUACCAAAGUGGUCCUUUGUGUAAUAAAAAUUGAAGAAUUACAAAAGUCUCUCUCCAUAUAGCUACAUAUAUUAAAUCUUCCAAACUACCUCCAUUUCUUCAUUUAUCAACUAAACAAAAUCUCUUUCCUUCUUACAUUUAAAGGUCUUCUAUCUUUAAAUUGUUCUCCUACAUCUGGUAUCAGAGUCAUUGGUUCGUUAGGAGGGUGAUUCAUUAACUAUGGUAGGAAAGAAUAUCGUGUGCAUGGAUCCCAAGUUGACGGGGAAACAAAAUUAUAACUUUUGGAGGAUUCAGAUGGAGACACAUCUGAAGGCGUAUAAUUUGUUAAAAUAUACGCGAGAAGAACUGGAGGAAGGUGCCGAAGAGAAUGAAAUNNNNN
RNAcentral lists this long non-coding RNA (507 nucleotides) under Nicotiana benthamiana. RNAcentral describes it as "long non-coding RNA (NBEN_LNC033358)". The record is from RNAcentral. Lineage: Eukaryota; Viridiplantae; Streptophyta; Magnoliopsida; Solanales; Solanaceae.